Molecule: long non-coding RNA, 2944 nt
Filed under: Capra hircus (goat)
Lineage: Eukaryota; Metazoa; Chordata; Mammalia; Artiodactyla; Bovidae
Description: lncRNA (ENSCHIG00000002343.1)
Source: RNAcentral
CCUGAACCGGCCUCUAAUCCCAGAUUGUUGCCCCAAUCCUGGGCGGAGGGUGGUUUGGGAGGCAGAAAGGUCCUGGUAACACCGCCUCUAAUCCAGGUGCAGAUGCUGAAAAGAACGGAGCUCUGCACCAGCCUGCUUUGGCCUCCCUGCCUCCUUUUGCCCUUGCCGCUCCUGUGGACAGGGGAUGCGUGGUCCUCCCCGCCUCCUCCCCCAUCCAGCUGUGUGUGCCCCUGCAGGUGUGUGUGCCUGUCCAGGUGUGUGUGCUCACCCAGCCAUGCGCACUGUCAGCCCCUGGCUGCUCCAGACAGGUGUCAUCGCGCCUGUGGGACUGCGAGGUCUAGAGUUCACUCCUUUGUCUCGGCUGCGUGCGCCUGCUCUGAGUGGUUCUGAGAACCUCAAGGCCUGCUGGGCCCUGCAACGAGGACCACUUACAUCAUCACACCUAACACCUCAGCAGCCCUGCGCUGGCGGCAUAAUUAGCAUCUCAGCUCAGAGAUGGGGAAGCGAGGCCGACAUGGUGAGGUCUCCCCGACACAGGUAUGGGUCUGUCUCCCCCACAAACCAUGCCUGGGCUUACUUCUAAGAAGGCUGAGGUGACCAAGUCUGAUCUGAGGUCAGUAGCAUCCUGCAGGUGCCCUCACCCACCUCCCACGCAGCUGUGACUGGGGUCCCUGUCUUGGCAUGCGCUUACAGCGUGGGGUACAGAGAACAGAGCGCACUCUUCCCCUCGGGUGUGAAUGAUCAAAUCCUCAAACUACCCACCUGUGAUGGAGAACACCCGGUUCCCCCUCCCACUUCUAUUAUGUUUUCAGAGGCUUGGAAACAGUCGGAGUUUGGGGGUGUAUUGUCCUUGGCAGUGACCUUGGAAAGGGGUGCUGGCAUCUGGAGGAAGCUAGAUGGGAGGGGUCAUGUCUGAAGCACAGAGACAGUGUAGAUCCUCGCUACCAAGUGGCAGACAUUGCCAGGGGACACUAGCUUCCACCCCAAAGUGGUGGUGGGGGGGCACAGAGAAGCUGGGAGAUCCCCAGUAGGAUCCGUGUGGAGUCCUGAGACUUCUGUUCUGGUUUCAGACGUGGAUGCUGUGCCUUCUUGGCAGUCUCGGUUGUCCUCUGAGGUCUAGGCCAGCCUUGGAGCUUGCCUUCUGGACCCAGAGGUCCCAAAGAUAGUGUUCCUUUUCCUGCUCCACCCUGUCCUCCUCCUCUUGAUUUCUCCCUCAGCCAUUUAUUUCUCUUUAUUUGUAGUAUGUGUUCAAUGCAAAUUCCCUAAUAUGAGAAAGUCACUGUGAAUCCGAGCAUUGUUACACAGAUAUAAGGAUGAUCUAAGCAGAUGUUCCACACACGAACAGAAAGCAACAAGGAGUAUUCAUGAGGCAUACAAAAGCUUGAGAUGUGUUGGAGAUGCUUGUUUCGUAUUGUUUUCUAAGAAUGACAAAUAUUUGCUUUUGUUAUCAAGGGUAUACGCCUGUCUGGACCCUGGAACACCAGAGUAUCGUCGUGGUAAUCAAAAAAAUCAAUGAGUGCAUGCCGGGGUCCAGCCCCGGUGGAUCCAGGGAAUUUGAAGGGUGGACGGAGUCGGCGAGGAAAACUUAUUUAUUUAUUAAUGUAAGAUUAGAUUAGGAAGAAAUAGUGUAGUAGGAAGAUUAAGUGGAGAGAAGAGGCUGAUUAACUUGGGUUACGUGGAAAACCAAUAAAGUUCCAGACAAGGAGCUUGCACCAUCUAUGUUAGGCCGCCGGCGCCCGUUUGAAUAUCGGAGAGUGCCCCGCCUUGGUCUCUCUCUCUUACGGAUCUUAAAAGCCGGGACAAGUAAGUAGACAUAGUGAGCCUCCACGCCCCAGAUGGGAAUUCAGCCUGAAAUUACAGUAAAGAGGAGACAUGGGGGAAACCAGUCCAGUGACUGGCUCUCCUUCUAUUGUCCUUCAAGGCCUUUUAUACUUUUGAUUAUACAUAGAGAUCAAUGGGUAAUACAAAAUUAUGUAGCGUUCGCAGCCCAGACUCUUUCUGUAUAUCUUUUUGUAUACAAAAGGUCUCAGGUGAUUUACAUUAUCUUCUGGCCAAGAGGCUUGUUAACACCUUUUGGCUCUUUUCCUUAAUGAAUGUUAAUUUCGUUUCCCCUGAAGUGUUUUUCUUUAAUCUGCAUCUCCUUAAAGCAUUAAAGUUAUAUCUCUAUAGAACAAAGGUGCAGUGGGUUAUAACAAAGAAGGUACUUAACUCAAAAAUCUAAUGUUGCUAAUACCAGGUCUACUACUCGUUUUUCUAUAUACCAACUAUAUCUAAAAAUAAAGGAUAUGAAAAUUUGGCAGCAAGUAUUGGCUCAACAAAUGAAACUUUUAAUCAGUCUGAUUCUAAUGAUUUUGACUCCUCGGAAGCCCCUACAUUCCUAGGGUGUUUUAAGCUUCCUGUGCCUCCUGCGGUCAGGAGGCCUCAAACAAUCACAUGCACAGCUGUACGAGUCCUGCAGGCAGGCUAGAAAGCCAUCAGAGGGGUUUUUGGAUUGAAACACUCUUUCAAAUGCAGAAGACUAAAGCCCUGAAUUGACUUUUUCCAGAGAAUGUCAGAAGAGUGGAAAAGCAGGCAGAUUCUUAUUUUUGGGGGGUGGAUGCUCAGGAAAUUCCAGGGGAAAAACCUGAGGUCUGAUUAGCCUUGCCAUCAGAGCUCUGCCACAUGACCUUGUCACAGGUGGAAUUCUUCACGCUGGCUCCCGGCAAGUGCAUAUUUCUAAACACAGGCUUCUGCACACACAGACAGUUGUAUAAGACGUACUUUCCAGAAUCAAGCUGUUUUUAGACCGGGCAUCAGGUUCUAACCAUUUAAAACACUGGCUGACAGGGUGUGCUUCAAUGCUAGCCUUAUUCAUACAGGUGGAAAAAGUAUUUAUAAAAAUAGCAGAAAAGAAUUUUUAUGAGCUCAAUUCAGGUAAGUUUCCAACGUUCAAUUUACUUCAGUU